UUGAGGUCGGCCGCGGUGGUGAGUGGUGUGGCGGCGGCCUGGGCACAGGCCAGGGUGGCCCAAGGUCGACAAGAGGAGGCGAUGCGUACGGGUAUAAUUUUUGCAAUGAAUCGUUUUUUCCUUUUGCAUUGCAGAUAAAUGAUGGAGCGCGGGUUGAAUAACCAAAAUUACAGGGUUUUUUUUAUAAAAAUGCCGCGGUGGGUUUUUCGACGGAAGCAAUAGCCGCUUUAUUAUUAGGUAUAGAUUAAGGAGAGAUAAGGCAUGUGCGCGCGAGUGUAUGGAUUCAUGCAUGAUUUAACUGCUCUUUUCUCUGGAUACAGUGGGCAAACAAGCUGACUUCGUUGAAGACCUUCCUCACUUGAAGCAUUGGCUGUUCGUCUUAGUUGCAGCAAUUGCCAUAUUUUUGCAUGGCCUCAAUACUCGAUGUUUGCAAAUCGAUGCAUCAUAUCGACGCAUCAUAGCCAAACAGGAUUGCUUACAUCAACACACAAGUUCGUUGGCUUCAAUUAAUGUGCGCAAAUCUUCGAAGUCAUUGAGUAUGUACUUCAAGCACUGAUGUGCGUGUUCUGCUUGUAAUAUCUCGGCACCAUGAAUCUGUAAAAAUUAGUGUGUAAUGGGUACGCUGGCCAGAUGUUAUAGACGAGGGCUAAUGUGUUGGAACUCGGUCCACUCGAUCCCAUCAUAUCACGAUAAACACGUGCAUAAAAAAUCUUGUAGUCAAAUGUCCUUGUCGUACCUUAAUUUUCCUUUUUUAUUUUUUUAUUUUCUCUCAACUCAUGAUAUUACAAGAAUCACGACAGACUCAAGUAUAUAUAGAAGCUA
RNAcentral lists this long non-coding RNA (822 nucleotides) under Hordeum vulgare. RNAcentral's name for it is "long non-coding RNA (HVUL_LNC017216)". The record is from RNAcentral. Lineage: Eukaryota; Viridiplantae; Streptophyta; Magnoliopsida; Poales; Poaceae.